GAUGAACGCUAGCGGCAGGCCUAAUACAUGCAAGUCGAGGGAGAAUGUUGGAUUCGUCUGACAUGAAACCGGCGCAUGGGUGCGUAACACGUAUGCAACCUACCCUUAACUGGGGUAUAGCUCAGAGAAAUCUGAAUUAAUCCCCCAUAAGACUACGACAUGGCAUCAUGAUGUAGUUAAAGCUCCGGCGGUUAAAGAUGGGCAUGCGGUACAUUAGCUAGUUGGUGAGGUAAUGGCUCACCAAGGCUACGAUGAAUAGGGGUUCUGAGAGGAUCAUCCCCCACACUGGUACGGAGACACGGACCAGACUCCUACGGGAGGCAGCAGUAGGGAAUAUUGGUCAAUGGACGGAAGUCUGCACCAGCCAUGCCGCGUGAAGGAUGAAGGCCCUAUGGGUCGUAAACUUCUUUUAUUAGGGAAGAAAAAACGGGAUGCGUCCUGUACUGACGGUACUUAAUGAAUAAGGAUCGGCUAACUUCGUGCCAGCCGCCGCCGUAA
This 498-nucleotide ribosomal RNA is filed under the name uncultured bacterium. RNAcentral's name for it is "partial 16S ribosomal RNA". It matches the Rfam family "Bacterial small subunit ribosomal RNA", at positions 28 to 523 of the family's 1533-position model. The record is from RNAcentral.